Molecule: long non-coding RNA, 1097 nt
Organism: Hordeum vulgare subsp. vulgare (domesticated barley)
Lineage: Eukaryota; Viridiplantae; Streptophyta; Magnoliopsida; Poales; Poaceae
Exons: 2
Source: RefSeq, a predicted model, not a curated record
UUCUGAGCCUCAGCCAUGAUGAAAGGGAGUCUUGGCGGCGUGCUUUUUAUCAUGGUCCAGCAUUUCCUACCAUGUCUAAGAUAUUACUUGGCAAUAUUGCUCUGAAGUGGCUACGGCAGAUUCACAACACUGUGAGGAAGGAAGUCUAUGAUUCCUUUUUUGUCAGAGGACCUCCUACUGAAGUGAUUCAGGCUCUUGUUCCAGCUUUAUCUCAAAAUGAAAACUCUAAGGAGGAUCAUAACAUUUUUUGUUUGAACAUUGAAAGGUGUUAUUCUUAAGCAACCCUCUACUUAGGCUAUGCCAUCACACUUGAGUCUUUGUGUCAGUUCAACUUGUUUGAUCUGGAAUCAAUUAAUCCUCUUAUUUCUUAGGCAAUUGACAAUCCCCAAAACUUAUAUUUUAGCACACACAAAUCUUGUAUGACAGUUCAACACUUGUAUGCAGGUCUUAACCAGUACCAUGCCCUUUUCCCCUGAUAGGUUAUUUUUUCACUGCAUGCUGUACUUGAGCCACGUGGUGCCAAACAAUUAAGCACGUAGAUUUUUGCGCAGAUCCUAGCACGUACUUCUGGGUAUUCUAUUUAUCUAGCAGUAGCAGAAGCAACAUGGACACAUUUUCUGAUAAUCUAUCUUCAGCGAUGAUUGCUGAAGAAACAGGAGUACAAUAUAAUGAAAAUAAAGAAGAUGCAGAUCACCUGAUACUCAAUCUGUUCUCUUCUACUUGUCAUUUCGGAACCAUAAAGUAUUUGGAGUUGUGAGAUGAAAAUAUUCUGUUAGAUUUUUUCAUCAGAAGCAUGUUAUAUUGAUAUUGGUUACUUUUGCUAGCAAUAAUUGGAAAAAUAAUGGUCAAAGAUGUGUGUUGGAGACUAUUGAUGUCCAGAAUUGACAAACGAAAGAGGCGGAAGUAGUUGAUACAAUCUCAUAACAUAUUUAGUUAGCCUUUUCUAGAUUGUUGGUGAAAGGCUGACAGCUAGUGAUUUAGUGGAAUUAACGCAUAUGUGGAACAUCUGGCAUGGAAACAAUAUAGCAUUAUGAGGAGCAAUUGAUUUGCACAAUUCAACGAUUGUUCCUAUGGUAUUUCUUAUCAUUUUAAGCAAA